This 419-nucleotide ribosomal RNA is filed under the name uncultured bacterium. RNAcentral's name for it is "bacterial SSU rRNA". It matches the Rfam family "Bacterial small subunit ribosomal RNA", at positions 355 to 786 of the family's 1533-position model. The record is from RNAcentral.
UGGGGAAUAUUGCACAAUGGGCGCAAGCCUGAUGCAGCGACGCCGCGUGAGGGAUGACGGCCUUCGGGUUGUAAACCUCUUUCGCCAGGGACGAAGCGCAAGUGACGGUACCUGGAUAAGAAGCACCGGCUAACUACGUGCCAGCAGCCGCGGUAAUACGUAGGGUGCGAGCGUUGUCCGGAUUUAUUGGGCGUAAAGAGCUCGUAGGCGGUUUGUCGCGUCGGCCGUGAAAUCUCCACGCUUAACGUGGAGCGUGCGGUCGAUACGGGCAGACUUGAGUUCGGUAGGGGAGACUGGAAUUCCUGGUGUAGCGGUGAAAUGCGCAGAUAUCAGGAGGAACACCGGUGGCGAAGGCGGGUCUCUGGGCCGAUACUGACGCUGAGGAGCGAAAGCGUGGGGAGCGAACAGGAUUAGAUACC